This 464-nucleotide ribosomal RNA is filed under the name Vreelandella stevensii. RNAcentral's name for it is "partial 16S ribosomal RNA". It matches the Rfam family "Bacterial small subunit ribosomal RNA", at positions 338 to 795 of the family's 1533-position model. The record is from RNAcentral. Lineage: Bacteria; Pseudomonadati; Pseudomonadota; Gammaproteobacteria; Oceanospirillales; Halomonadaceae.
CCUACGGGGUGCUGCAGUGGGGAAUAUUGGACAAUGGGCGAAAGCCUGAUCCAGCCAUGCCGCGUGUGUGAAGAAGGCCUUCGGGUUGUAAAGCACUUUCAGUGGGGAAGAAAGCCUUGGGGCUAAUACCCUCGAGGAAGGACAUCACCCACAGAAGAAGCACCGGCUAACUCCGUGCCAGCAGCCGCGGUAAUACGGAGGGUGCGAGCGUUAAUCGGAAUUACUGGGCGUAAAGCGCGCGUAGGCGGUCUGAUAAGCCGGUUGUGAAAGCCCCGGGCUCAACCUGGGAACGGCAUCCGGAACUGUCAGGCUAGAGUGCAGGAGAGGAAGGUAGAAUUCCCGGUGUAGCGGGGAAAUGCGUAGAGAUCGGGAGGAAUACCAGUGGCGAAGGCGGCCUUCUGGACUGACACUGACGCUGAGGUGCGAAAGCGUGGGUAGCAAACAGGAUUAGAUACCCAGUAGUC